Molecule: unclassified non-coding RNA, 187 nt
Filed under: soil metagenome
Description: partial internal transcribed spacer 1
Source: RNAcentral
CAGAGUCGCAAAACUCCCACAAACCAUCGCGAAUCUUACCCGUACGGUUGCCUCGGCGCUGGCGGUCCGGAAGGCCCUCGGGCCCCCGGAUCCUCGGGUCUCCCGCUCGCGGGAGGCUGCCCGCCGGAGUGCCGAAACUAAACUCUUGAUAUCUUAUGUCUCUCUGAGUACACUUUUAAAUAAGUCA